CCUACGGGUGGCUGCAGUGAGGAAUAUUGGUCAAUGGGCGGGAGCCUGAACCAGCCAAGUCGCGUGAGGGAAGACGGUCCUAUGGAUUGUAAACCUCUUUAGGCGGGGAGCAAUGCCGGGCACGCGUGCCCGGAGGGAGAGUACCCGCAGAAUAAGCAUCGGCUAACUCCGUGCCAGCAGCCGCGGUAAUACGGAGGAUGCGAGCGUUAUCCGGAUUUAUUGGGUUUAAAGAGUUGCGUAGGUGGCAUAAUAAGUAGCUAGUGAAAUCUGGUGGCUCAACCAUUCAGACUAUUAGCUAAACUGUUAAGCUCGAGACCGUUAGGGGUAACUGGAAUUUCUAGUGUAGGAGUGAAAUCCGUAGAUAUUAGAAGGAACACCAAUAGCGUAGGCAGGUUACUGGGACGGUUCUGACACUAAGGCACGAAAGCGUAGGGAGCAAACGGGAUUAGAUACCCUUGUAGUC
RNAcentral lists this ribosomal RNA (463 nucleotides) under uncultured bacterium. RNAcentral's name for it is "partial 16S ribosomal RNA". It matches the Rfam family "Bacterial small subunit ribosomal RNA", at positions 338 to 795 of the family's 1533-position model. The record is from RNAcentral.